Molecule: ribosomal RNA, 253 nt
Filed under: uncultured bacterium
Lineage: Bacteria
Description: partial 16S ribosomal RNA
Rfam family: Bacterial small subunit ribosomal RNA
Source: RNAcentral
UACGAAGGGGGCGAGCGUUGUUCGGAAUUACUGGGCGUAAAGGGCGCGUAGGCGGCCGGACAAGUGGAAGGUGAAAUCCCCGAGCUCAACUCGGGAACUGCCCUCCAAACUGUUUGGCUUGAGUCCGGGAGAGGUGAGUGGAAUUCCCAGUGUAGCGGUGAAAUGCGUAGAUAUUGGGAGGAACACCAGUGGCGAAGGCGGCUCACUGGACCGGAACUGACGCUGAGGCGCGAAAGCGUGGGGAGCAAACAGG